This is a long non-coding RNA of Perognathus longimembris pacificus (Pacific pocket mouse), 920 nucleotides long. RefSeq lists it as uncharacterized. The record is from RefSeq and is a predicted model, not a curated record. NCBI's taxonomy places the organism in Eukaryota, Metazoa, Chordata, Mammalia, Rodentia, Heteromyidae. The transcript is spliced from 3 exons.
AAAGCUAAGGUAGAGCAAGAUCCAAUAUCAGCACAAAUAUACACACACAAAAAUGAAACCAACAAAAAAAAACACCUGACAAUUCAGCUGUUUAGCUCAAAGAAAACUUGUUUCAAAAUUUUAAUAAGGAAUAUUAUUUUUAAAGUAUUGUUAUGGCUAAGUGAACAUAUUAAUAAGUUCAGAGACAACAUUUUCUGAUCACAGUAAUCAUCAUUUAACUAAUAUAAAAGGUUAGGUCAAUGUUAGCAGUUCUUUAGUAAAGCAAUUCUAUUGUUGUCAUCUAUAUUAUCAAAGCCUUGCUGCCUCACUUUCCCUUUAAAUAAUGACAUUUUUUUUCAAUCAUCAAAAUAAAGUUCUAGCCUAUAUGCAAAGAUGUAAAAGGUCUAACCUAUUUGCAAAGCAUCAUGAAAAGCACUUUUCUAUGUUACUAAGAUACACUUUGAACAUUUAAAUAAUUAUCUAGCUAUUCAGAACUCUUAUGUCUCCUACAAAAAUUAAGUUUCUCAGCAGCAUUGCAGUAGGCAUAACUUUAGGUUUCUUAAAGGCUACCUGACAUAAAAAACAAUUGUAUCUAAGCAGUCUUACAAGCCCAUAUUGCAGACAAUGCUGGGAGUAUGUCAGAGCAGGAGAGCCACAAAGGUUAGCUCUGCUGUGAGGAUCAGACAAAAGACCAAAGCCAGGUCAUUCUCUAAAACUGUGGCUAGAUUUCUAACACAAUAUUAAAACAUGGGAUUAGAGAACAAAGAAAAGGAAUGACUUUGAGACACAGAGAAGAGCUUAGGCAGAAUUCAAGGUCUUGAGACGGUAAGACUAAGGGUGUAAUAUUAAUGUUGAUAGAAAUAAUUGGCAACUCAUACUAGAUUUGUGGGUAGAAAAAGAAAAAGUUAAAAUAAAAUUUUAAAAAACACUUCUCAAUUUCC